CACACACACACACACACACACUCGAGCGCUUGCUCUAAAUGCAGUAGUGCUGAUCGUGGCCUUUAAACUCGGAGCUGAUCUGUGAGGCCGAUACACACAAGUGCAAUUCCUACACACACACACACAGACACACAGCCAGCAGCCUAAGAGCUGAUACACACUAGUGCCAAACCUUAUAUGACUAACACGCACACACACACACUCUGUCCUUUUUGAAACUCUUGUAUGUGCUUUUUAAAUCCUUUUUAUUUAUUGUUUUUUUGGGUUGUUGUUGUUGUUGUUUUUUUCAGAAGUCCAGAGAGACCAUGUUUAAAACGAUUUCUGUUCCUUUACACUUCUGAGCUCUGUUCUGAAAACUGACCCUUAAAGGUGCGGUUCACCCAAAAACUAAAAUUCUGUCAUCUGUUACUCCGCCUCGUAUCGUUCCAAAACCCUCAGACCUCCCUCGGUGUUCGGAACGCGAACGGAGACGUUUUUAACGAAAGCCGGGAGAUUUCCAUCCCUCCUAGAACCUUUAUUUUCCUAAGUUAAGACCCCUUAGUUAUCCAGUGAACCCUUAAAAAUCACUGGAGAACCCUUUGUUCUAAGAGAGUAGGUAUUCACUGGGUAUGUGUGCGAUACAAAACCAAAUUAUUGCUCAUUAUUUUUUCUUCUUUUAAUAUCUAGAACCUUAACAAAGAAGUUCUUGGUACUUGGUACACUCUUAGAACAAGGGUUCUUCAGUGGUUGGAUACGUAAGCUUGGAAGAACCUUCUCUGAUUAGAAAAUAUAACAUAAAAAUAUAUAUAAAAAACCCAUAAGCUUCUCUAUUUCUAUAUUGAAAGGUUCUUCGAGGGUUCCUGGCCUUCAAAAACGUUUCUGCUGGUAGUCACUGUGCUGUUGGGUUCUAUGGAGGUUCCAAGUAGAGCCCUUUAGAUUGGUAAGAAACCGUUUCUGAGGUCUUUCUAAUAAGUACUACGAGUUCUUAAAAGGGUCCUACUUGGAACUUUCUCUGAUAGCGAAUCGGUUCUCGGGUUCCGUGUUGUUUAUUGGCUCAUUGGAUGAUGAGGAGGUCUUGACUUCUUGUAAGGGUUCUACUUUCUGAUCAGUUCUCAGUUGUAGGAUGGAUUUAACGUUCUUUUAGGUUUCUUAGCUCUCUACAACGGUUCUGCUCGGAACCUUCUCCUAUAAGGACGUUAAGGGACUCUCCUGUUGGCUAACCGAGGGUUGUACUUGAAACCCUUUCUGAUAAACCCUAAGUUGUAGGGCGCUUUGUGAGACAUGAUGGUUGUUAAGGGCUCUCUAUGGAGCCUUCAGGGUUCUGUGUUAUUUAAGGGCUCAUUUGAUAAGCGAGUUCUAAAUAACUGUUCUGCUUUCUGAGAAACUCUCGUUUGUAGGGUUCUGCAGUAUUUAAGGUUUCUUGUUGUGUGUUAAUUCUCUUGGCUUUCUAAAGGGGUUCAACCCAGAACUUUUCCUAAUUGGGAAACUGGUAUAGAGGUCUAUAUUAUUUACAAAGAACCCUUUUCCGAUAGACAAACACUCUGUUAUCGGGUUCUGAAUGUUUUGAAUAAACAAAACAAACCAGCGUAGCUAUAGACCUCGUCUUGCGAGCCAGACUUCCCGGCCAUGUUUAAUAAAUAAACGUGUCUAAGCCCUGCCCACUUUCAGAGAAGGAAGCCGUUUGAUUGACACGGCAGGCGACCAAGCGCAGCCUUUUCCUCAACCCUGUGAGAUUUUGUUUGUUGUUUGUUUGUUGUUUGUUUAUUCACCGCUAACUGCCUUUAAAAACUGUUCUCCAUGAACUUUUUUUUGGUUCUUCCUCCGAAGUGUCGGAAAGCUGUGCACAGAGAACCAAUCAGAACGUAAAUCUUGACCAUCCUGAAUCUUGUGGCCAGAAAAGGGUACGAAAGAGAAAUCAGAUGCUCGCUGUAUCCUGUGGGCGGAGCCUCAGACGCUGACACUUUAACGUGGGUAGUUUAGUUAAGGGCUUUUCAGCUAAUGUUUUAUGGAUAUCAAGCUAGCUUUGACGAUUUACUUUGAGUCAGCGUUCCAGUUCCACUUCCCGAUCUUCUUCAUGAUUAAACCAUGGUGCUGAUCUGAGAUGCGAUGGCGUUGAGGACGAUGAUGAUGGAUGACGUAAUCACCUGGUCCAUAUCAGCCAAUGGUGGACGGACUUGAGAAAACACGAAUAAUAAUAAUAAUAAUAAUGUGUGGUCUCUCUGGACUUUCAUAUCACGGAGUUUUUGUUAACGUGUGAGAAGCAUGGUGAUGCGAAAGUUUUCGCUCCCUUCCAUCAUGAACGUUCUAGCAGGAAGAACGCAGUGAGCUGCUGCUCGCUGGAGCUCCAGAGCUGGAUCGAUGUUUUAUAUGAAAUCGUUUGACCAAAUAAUUUUCUUAAACUACCGCCUCGUGACGUCGUGGAGUCACGUAACGCGUCAGACAGUUCACGCGGAGCCGCUUUAACGCAUCAUCACCAUCACCUCGCGUACGGUCGGAAACAAGAAGGCGAUUCUUUUGAUCCAGAGCGUCGGUGUUUAAAGAAGUACGGUGUAUCGAGUACUAACUUGCUUUUAAUUUCCUUUUGAAAUUCAAACUCAUUAUUGUACAGGUUUGGGUUUGUUUUUUGGGGUUUUUUUUACAUGCUGUCAGUGUUGUAUAUAAACUGUGAAAUGAUUUCUCUAGAUUAGAAAUGUAAAUAUAAAUUAAUUACAUUCCCAAUACGCACGUGUCUGUCGUUUUUCUUUGACUUAUUUUUUUCUUUCGUGUACAUAUUUACGGACGCAGAGGUGGAGAAAAUAAACUAAAGUGCUCACGCA
Molecule: long non-coding RNA, 2795 nt
Organism: Ictalurus punctatus (channel catfish)
Lineage: Eukaryota; Metazoa; Chordata; Actinopteri; Siluriformes; Ictaluridae
Source: Ensembl